RNAcentral lists this ribosomal RNA (180 nucleotides) under uncultured beta proteobacterium. RNAcentral describes it as "partial 16S ribosomal RNA". The record is from RNAcentral. Lineage: Bacteria; Pseudomonadati; Pseudomonadota; Betaproteobacteria.
UCGUAAAUGACGCAGCCUGAUGCAGCCAUGCCGCGUGAGUGAUGAGGCCUUCGGGUUGAAAGCUUUUUUUUCAGGGACGAAACUUCGGGACUUGUCCCCCAUUGGAAGUACCGUACCAAUACAGGAAGGCUAACUCCACGCUAUCCGCCCCGGUAAUGUAAUAAGAACCCCCCCGCCGCU